This is a long non-coding RNA of Sphaeramia orbicularis (orbiculate cardinalfish), 2812 nucleotides long. RefSeq lists it as uncharacterized. The record is from RefSeq and is a predicted model, not a curated record. The transcript has 3 exons. NCBI's taxonomy places the organism in Eukaryota, Metazoa, Chordata, Actinopteri, Kurtiformes, Apogonidae.
AGCAGAGGAGAGUGGGUUAAAUUUAUCAAUAUGCAGAGUGUGAGUAACACAUUUAACCUUGGUAUUUGCAGAGAAGUGAGUGCUGCUCUCUGCUCUUCCAUGCGUUGACAGUUGGAGUGAGGAGCUGGGGGAAACACAGCGGAAUAUCUGACAGGCUCAGUAUUUUCUGCACGGUAAUCUUAUUUGUGGCUGGUGUUGGGUGAUGUGGAGGCGCUCGUCCCACAGAUCUGAAACAUGGAGCCUGUGGCUUGGGUGCUAAAACCACCAAGUGUGCAAGCGUGUCUACAGGGAGGCUGGUGGCAUUUUCAAUUUGCACCCUGUCAGGCUGUGCUUCAGGUAAUAAGUCCUGCUUCAUGGAAAUCAUUUUUUGCUGUGCACAUCCAUUUAAUAUGACCUCAGGUAAUGUAUCAGCCAUAAUGUCGUCCGUUUUAAUUUAAUUUUCUCUGUUAAAGAAAACAAGCUGAGUUCAUGAGAACGCUGUUGAUUUUUCUAAAGAGAGAUUAAUACAUGUUGAUAAUGUCUGUUUACCCUUUUCCAUUUUCCAUUCAUGAUCCAUCACACUUAUGAGAAUUUCCAUGUGAAUUACACUGGGCCUCAUCCAUUCCCAGCAGCUGUAAUGGUUUACAAGCUGUUAGGGUGCUUGUUCGAUUGUCCAGGGGAUUCAGCUGAGGGCUUGAGUGCUGCAACACAAUAUUGCCUCCAAUCUGAAAUUUUCAUUGGAGGUCUUCUGUGCAACCGAGGCUAUCCAUCUUGUAUGUGUUUUUUUCUAGAAUGUACCUUGUAAUAACGUGGCAAUUAUAUUUUUCGAGGGCCUCAGUCUUGUUUGAAAUGGCUAAGCUGUUUUCCUAGAAGGCCCCUCCAGCUAAUAAGACAAGGUCCCACAUCUUUGUCAGCUUUAAUAAUGUUGCCUCUGUCUGAUUCAGAGUCCGCUGAGAACACGACCACAGUUCAUCGCUGAGGCUUUUUUUAAUGACUGAGCAAUAUUGUUUUUGAACCCAGUUCAGCAGACAAAACACUAGGGAGGAAGACGCUGUGUGAUCUUUUCUCAUUUGAAUAUGGACAAGGCUCAGUGCUUGGUUUUUUUAUCCAGGCAGUUCCAGCCAUCAGAUAAAUCCUGCUGUGUCAAAACAAAGCGGCUGAUGUACUGUUAAGGCUCUGAGGGUGUCAAUGUGCCCGCACCUAUUAGUGGGUGUUUCUGUCAUGUAACGGGAUGAUUUAUAGUGACUUGAAGAUGGUUUUGUUGAAAGCUCUCAGCCGUACAAAACUGAACAGCAGCAAGAGAAGAUGUGAACUGUAGUAACAAUGUCUGAUGUUGAGGCCUGUAGGGAAAGAGCAUUGAACUGCAGAAACUGUGUCAUAAAACUGCAGUACAAUGCACUUCACUGGUCACGUAUCCCCAGAUGAGAAAAUCUGACAAACCUUUACAGAAACAUUUCCUCAUUUCCAGACUCUGUAGACAUGACAGUUUAUCUAACCGAAUUCAACUGUCAAAGAAGUGCUUCUGAGUUGUUGAAAUUCACACCCAGAGGCUUUUAAAGUAGAAAAAAUGUCAUGCGAUUGUAGGGGGGUCUGUUUAAUACAGUGUCUCACAGAUAUGCCAUGUUCCUGUGAUGUCCUCAGUGGAGACGUUCACUGUGAGCGGACACAAACAGCAUUACCAGGUCUGUGUUUGCCGUGCUACAUGUGACUGUGUUCCCCACUAAGCAGCUCAAAGAAACAAUGAGAAAACAACAGGCUGAAAUGAUGGAGUAGGUCUCUCUCUCUCCAGGUCCCUUGUUACUCUCAGCUGAGCCUUUACAUUUCACAGGUUGAGCUCAAACUGUUUUCACUGAAAGGCAGACUCACAUAACAGGAGAAGUUGUGUUUAUUAUUUAGACCCACUGGAGGAAAUGCUACUUGACAUCCAAAGUGGAAGCCUUUCUACCAUCCUUCAUUGCCACUCACACUGGCCUAACUGUGUUAACGUACACUAUGUGCUCCAUAAUGAUUGAUUUCCCAUGCAUUACCACCACCCUUAUGCUCAUUAAACUGUCACGACUGGAUCAAAUGCCAGUCACAGCGAGAACACCAUAUGUCGGCUUCCUUCCUCGCUGCACGUUGGCCAACCUCUGUUCCUCACGCUGACGACUCAGAUUGUGGUCGCCACCCAACCGCUCACAGAUGGAGACCGUCUUCUAGACAUUUCGGCUGAGCUCCUGCAGAGUCCUAGCAUCUUUGCCAACACACAUGCUGUCUCGGUAUAAACACUGACCAGUGUAUUCUCUGCUUUGUGUUGUGUGUUUAUUACACUCUGAAUCCCGGCACUUCCAUCCUCAAUAUUACAUAAGUUGCACUUUGUGAGUUCAGUGCACCAUCUGGGACGCCUUCACAUCCAGACUACACAUUUAUUCCCGCCUGAAUGUGAAAGUGGGGAGCAUGUCGUGGUCAUGGCCAGCACCGAGGAGAAACGAGUUACGUGUAAAAGCGUUAUGUAAUUCAAUUAGAUAAUACAUGGCACUAUAAUGUAAGUGUAGAAAUAUGUUUCUGAUUACAAAGGGGAUUAUUUCAAUAAAUCUAACAAGUGACAAAUGAGAUUGUUUCUUGAAAUUUUUGUUGAAAUCAAUAUUUGAAAAGUUAUUUUUACUUUAACUCUAUCUAACCAGUAUAGAGAAAAUCAUGAACAGUUCCCAGUUCUAUCAACGUUUCUAUCACCAUUAAACAUGAACCUGACAGAAUGUGUGUCCUGUGUGUUUUUAGGAUGUUUUGCAUUUCUUUGUACUGUUUUUUUAUGAUGUCUUUUACAAUAUUUUGCGUUUUUGUCAAUUGUCUUUCU